RNAcentral lists this microRNA (20 nucleotides) under Hordeum vulgare. RNAcentral describes it as "hvu-miR6211". Lineage: Eukaryota; Viridiplantae; Streptophyta; Magnoliopsida; Poales; Poaceae. The record is from miRBase by way of RNAcentral.
CAGAUCAAGACGCUCCGGCA